UACGGAGGGUGCAAGCGUUAAUCGGAAUUACUGGGCGUAAAGCGUGCGCAGGCGGUUUGUUAAGUCUGCUGUGAAAUCCCCGAGCUCAACUUGGGAAUUGCAGUGGAUACUGGCAGGCUGGAGUAUGGUAGAGGAAGGUGGAAUUCCCGGUGUAGCAGUGAAAUGCGUAGAGAUCGGGAGGAACACCAGUGGCGAAGGCG
Molecule: ribosomal RNA, 200 nt
Filed under: uncultured bacterium
Lineage: Bacteria
Description: partial 16S ribosomal RNA
Rfam family: Bacterial small subunit ribosomal RNA
Source: RNAcentral